UGAACCUGGAAGGCAGGAUGCUAGAUA
This 27-nucleotide non-coding RNA is filed under the name Homo sapiens (human). The record is from RNAcentral. Lineage: Eukaryota; Metazoa; Chordata; Mammalia; Primates; Hominidae.